UCGCACCUACCGAUUGAAUGAUUCGGUAAAAAUCUCGACUGUAAUCAGUGCACUCGUGCGCUGAUUGUGGGAAGUUAUUUAAACCUCAUCAUUUAGAGGAAGGUGAAGUCGUAACAAGGUUUCCGUAGGUGAACCUGCAGAAGGAUCA
This 148-nucleotide ribosomal RNA is filed under the name uncultured eukaryote. Its description in RNAcentral is "partial small subunit ribosomal RNA". It matches the Rfam family "Eukaryotic small subunit ribosomal RNA", at positions 1676 to 1828 of the family's 1831-position model. The record is from RNAcentral.